GACGAACGCUGGCGGCGUGCCUAAUACAUGCAAGUAAAACGCUGAGGUUUGGUGUUUACACUAGACUGAUGAGUUGCGAACGGGUGAGUAACGCGUAGGUAACCUGCCUCAUAGCGGGGGAUAACUAUUGGAAACGAUAGCUAAUACCGCAUAAGAGUAAUUAACACAUGUUAGUUAUUUAAAAGGAGCAAUUGCUUCACUGUGAGAUGGACCUGCGUUGUAUUAGCUAGUUGGUGAGGUAAAGGCUCACCAAGGCGACGAUACAUAGCCGACCUGAGAGGGUGAUCGGCCACACUGGGACUGAGACACGGCCCAGACUCCUACGGGAGGCAGCAGUAGGGAAUCUUCGGCAAUGGACGGAAGUCUGACCGAGCAACGCCGCGUGAGUGAAGAAGGUUUUCGGAUCGUAAAGCUCUGUUGUUAGAGAAGAACGUUGGUAGGAGUGGAAAAUCUACCAAGUGACGGUAACUAACCAGAAAGGGACGGCUAACUACGUGCCAGCAGCCGCGGUAAUACGUAGGUCCCGAGCGUUGUCCGGAUUUAUUGGGCGUAAAGCGAGCGCAGGCGGUUCUUUAAGUCUGAAGUUAAAGGCAGUGGCUUAACCAUUGUACGCUUUGGAAACUGGAGGACUUGAGUGCAGAAGGGGAGAGUGGAAUUCCAUGUGUAGCGGUGAAAUGCGUAGAUAUAUGGAGGAACACCGGUGGCGAAAGCGGCUCUCUGGUCUGUAACUGACGCUGAGGCUCGAAAGCGUGGGGAGCAAACAGG
This 765-nucleotide ribosomal RNA is filed under the name uncultured Streptococcus sp. RNAcentral's name for it is "bacterial SSU rRNA". It matches the Rfam family "Bacterial small subunit ribosomal RNA", at positions 28 to 776 of the family's 1533-position model. Lineage: Bacteria; Bacillati; Bacillota; Bacilli; Lactobacillales; Streptococcaceae. The record is from RNAcentral.